GCAGAAAAUUCAAAAGACCAGCAUUCACCACUGACAACUACUAUCCCCAGUUUGAUAGACCAUGCCUGAAGGCUGAAGCAUAUCGCUUUUAGGACUAUGUCAGCCCCUUCUAAGCGAGCUUCUACUUUUAUCUCCAUCCUCCCCAAUGGUUUUUGUCUUUGCUUUUGGCUAAUAAUGUUUGGUCUCUUCACUCUGCAAAAAGCUUUUUGGAUAUCUGUGGAUCAUCAAGAAGUUGAUAUAUGGCAUCUCUAAGCUUGCAAUAAUCCUCAAACGUAUUAUAGACCUGAUGAGAAAUCCUUGCAUAGGCCAUUAUGAACCCAUCCUUAUCCUUCACAGCCGCCUCACCAUUUUUUCUAGGUGCCUGAUAAUGAAUUGGAACCUCAACCCCAUAAUUCGAACGCAAAUGCGACCUUAACCUCAAAGCAUCAUCUUGACUCAUUACACGCAAUCUUGAAGGCAAGCUUACCAUAAUCAUGCCUGCACACAUCUCCGGCGGGGCCCCUAGAUUUGUUCCCCAUGACUCUGCUAACAUUUUCCCCACCUCAACAAUCUUCUCAUGGUUCCUAUUCAUUAUUCCAUCAAGUCCUCCUUCAAAUCGAUUAACAAACUCCAAAGCAGAUGGUACUACUAGUUGAGAACUGUAAUCCCUUGUCCCAAUCCACGCACUCUCAAUUGGCAAUCCAUUCCCAUAUUCAUGUGAAACCACGGGGUGAUGCACAUCAGAGGAGGAGCUGGUUUUUUUACAAUACAAAAAUGCAACUGAUGGCGGGCAGAAAAACCAUUUGUGCAAAUUGCUAGCGUAGAAAUCAGCCCCAAUUUCUUUAACAUCUACUUUAACACUACCCAGAGCGUGAGCUGCAUCAACAAAAACCUGGUCCACGCCUUCUUCUCUACAAAUUUUAACCAAUUCCCGGACUGGAGUGACGACACACGGCAUUGAUGUGAUGUGAUCGAUUAUUGCUAACCUAACUUUUCUACCACUAGACUUACCUUUCUCUAGCCCUUUCCUAAACUCAGCGAUAAUUUCUUCAUCGGAGUUAACAGGAAAUGGAAGCUGAACUUCUAUUACUGAUCCACCGGUACGCGUGACAUACGCUUGCAUAGAUUUUUUUACGGCUUCAUAGGCGCAGUGAAGCAUCAAGACGGCGUCGUUCUUAUGGAAUUUACCAUCGGCGAAGGAACGGCCUAUCUGCUGGNUAUCUGCUGGAGGACGAUGGCAGCGGCGGUGGUGGCAUUGUCGACGAGGGAGACCUCGUCCACAUCAUCGGCAUUAAUGAGGUCUUUAACUAGUGUCCGCGAAUCAAGAAUCCCCUUGCGGAGCGUAUUGAAGUAGAAAUCGUCCGGUUGCUGAAGGAAUUUGAGUUGCCACUUCCUCUGGGCGGCAAGCACCGAUCCGGGGCAGCUCCCGAAGCUCCCGUUGUUGAUUCGGGCUAUGCCAGACUGAUGGUGUGCGAACUCUUCUCGGAUUUCGGAUUCGGUUAUGAAACGAGUGAGCCGGGGCUUCUUGGUGAGUUGGUGGUGGUGAGCCGACUCACCGUUUGAAGGAUCUUUGUUUUCCAUUGGGGUGAGUUAGGGUUUGGGAAGAAGAUUGGGCAUGAUCUGAAAGACUGCUCAAAACUUGGAACUGUGGCUCACUGUGUGCUUAGCAUCAGAGGA
This 1656-nucleotide unclassified non-coding RNA is filed under the name Hevea brasiliensis (rubber tree). Lineage: Eukaryota; Viridiplantae; Streptophyta; Magnoliopsida; Malpighiales; Euphorbiaceae. The record is from RNAcentral.